RNAcentral lists this ribosomal RNA (438 nucleotides) under Klebsiella ornithinolytica. RNAcentral's name for it is "bacterial SSU rRNA". It matches the Rfam family "Bacterial small subunit ribosomal RNA", at positions 665 to 1102 of the family's 1533-position model. The record is from RNAcentral. RNAcentral also lists the same sequence under 1 other name. Lineage: Bacteria; Pseudomonadati; Pseudomonadota; Gammaproteobacteria; Enterobacterales; Enterobacteriaceae.
AAUUCCAGGUGUAGCGGUGAAAUGCGUAGAGAUCUGGAGGAAUACCGGUGGCGAAGGCGGCCCCCUGGACAAAGACUGACGCUCAGGUGCGAAAGCGUGGGGAGCAAACAGGAUUAGAUACCCUGGUAGUCCACGCUGUAAACGAUGUCGACUUGGAGGUUGUUCCCUUGAGGAGUGGCUUCCGGAGCUAACGCGUUAAGUCGACCGCCUGGGGAGUACGGCCGCAAGGUUAAAACUCAAAUGAAUUGACGGGGGCCCGCACAAGCGGUGGAGCAUGUGGUUUAAUUCGAUGCAACGCGAAGAACCUUACCUACUCUUGACAUCCAGAGAACUUAGCAGAGAUGCUUUGGUGCCUUCGGGAACUCUGAGACAGGUGCUGCAUGGCUGUCGUCAGCUCGUGUUGUGAAAUGUUGGGUUAAGUCCCGCAACGAGCGCAAC